RNAcentral lists this long non-coding RNA (406 nucleotides) under Homo sapiens (human). RNAcentral describes it as "non-protein coding NUTM2A-AS1:23". Lineage: Eukaryota; Metazoa; Chordata; Mammalia; Primates; Hominidae. The record is from RNAcentral.
AGGCUGUUGUACAGUGGCCUGAUUAUAGCUCACUGUAGCCUCGAAAUUCUGGGCCGAAAUGAUCCGCCUGCCUCAGCCUCCAAAGUAGCUGAGACUACAGUUUAAGUAUAGUGUGCCUGGGCCGGGUGCGGUGGCUCACGCCUAUAAUCCCAGCACUUUGGGAGGCCAAGGCCAGUGGAUCACCUGAGGUCAGGAAUUCGGGACCAACCUGGCCAACAUGUGAAACCCCAUCUCCACUAAAAAAUCCAAAAAUUAGCCAGGCAUGGUGGUGCGUGCCUGUAAUCCCAGCUAUUCAGGAGACUGAGGCAGGAGAAUCGCUGGACCUUGGGGAGGCGGAGGUUGCAGUGAGCUGAGAUCGCACACUACCGUACUCCAGCCUGGGUGACAAAGAAAAACUCCGUCUCAA